UACGUAGGGUGCAAGCGUUGUCCGGAAUUAUUGGGCGUAAAGAGCUCGUAGGUGGCCUGUCGCGUCGGCUGUGAAAACUCGGGGCUCAACUCCGAGCUUGCAGUCGAUACGGGCAGGCUAGAGUUCGGCAGGGGAGACUGGAAUUCCCGGUGUAGUGGUGGAAUGCGUAGAUAUCGGGAGGAACACCAGUGGCGAAGGCGGUUGCCUGGAGCUUUGCUGACGCUGAGGCGCGAAAGCGUGGGGAGCGAGUCCGG
RNAcentral lists this ribosomal RNA (254 nucleotides) under uncultured bacterium. RNAcentral's name for it is "partial 16S ribosomal RNA". It matches the Rfam family "Bacterial small subunit ribosomal RNA", at positions 524 to 777 of the family's 1533-position model. The record is from RNAcentral.